RNAcentral lists this ribosomal RNA (792 nucleotides) under Streptomyces exfoliatus. RNAcentral's name for it is "bacterial SSU rRNA". It matches the Rfam family "Bacterial small subunit ribosomal RNA", at positions 37 to 843 of the family's 1533-position model. Lineage: Bacteria; Bacillati; Actinomycetota; Actinomycetes; Kitasatosporales; Streptomycetaceae. The record is from RNAcentral.
UGGCGGCGUGCUUAACACAUGCAAGUCGAACGAUGAACCACUUCGGUGGGGAUUAGUGGCGAACGGGUGAGUAACACGUGGGCAAUCUGCCCUGCACUCUGGGACAAGCCCUGGAAACGGGGUCUAAUACCGGAUACUGAUCAUCUUGGGCAUCCAAGGUGUUCGAAAGCUCCGGCGGUGCAGGAUCAGCCCGCGGCCUAUCAGCUUGUUGGUGAGGUAGUGGCUCACCAAGGCGACGACGGGUAGCCGGCCUGAGAGGGCGACCGGCCACACUGGGACUGAGACACGGCCCAGACUCCUACCCGAGGCAGCAGUGGGGAAUAUUGCACAAUGGGCGAAAGCCUGAUGCAGCGACGCCGCGUGAGGGAUGACGGCCUUCGGGUUGUAAACCUCUUUCAGCAGGGAAGAAGCGAAAGUGACGGUACCUGCAGAAGAAGCGCCGGCUAACUACGUGCCAGCAGCCGCGGUAAUACGUAGGGCGCGAGCGUUGUCCGGAAUUAUUGGGCGUAAAGAGCAGGUAGGCGGCUUGUCACGUCGGUUGUGAAAGCCCGGGGCUUAACCCCGGGUCUGCAGUCGAUACGGGCAGGCUAGAGUUCGGUAGGGGAGAUCGGAAUUCCUGGUGUAGCGGUGAAAUGCGCAGAUAUCAGGAGGAACACCGGUGGCGAAGGCGGAUCUCUGGGCCGAUACUGACGCUGAGGAGCGAAAGCGUGGGGAGCGAACAGGAUUAGAUACCCUGGUAGUCCACGCCGUAAACGGUGGGCACUAGGUGUGGGCAACAUUCCACGUUGUCCA